This 85-nucleotide transfer RNA is filed under the name Felis catus (domestic cat). It matches the Rfam family "tRNA". From Rfam's summary of the family: Transfer RNA (tRNA) molecules are approximately 80 nucleotides in length. Their secondary structure includes four short double-helical elements and three loops (D, anti-codon, and T loops). Lineage: Eukaryota; Metazoa; Chordata; Mammalia; Carnivora; Felidae. The record is from Rfam by way of RNAcentral.
GCCUGGGUGGCUCAGUGGGUUAAGUGUCCGACUUUGGCUCAGGUCACGAUCUCGCAGUUCAUGGGUUCAAGCCCCAUGUCAGGCU